Molecule: non-coding RNA, 15567 nt
Organism: Pelobates cultripes (western spadefoot toad)
Lineage: Eukaryota; Metazoa; Chordata; Amphibia; Anura; Pelobatidae
Source: the annotation of a GenBank genome assembly
UGUGAACCUUUUAUUGUUGGUGUCUUGGUGAAUGACAAUCAACCAUUCACUUAUCAUGGCUAAAUCUACCCGUUCCUGAAAACUCAGCACUGUAUUAGAGGUUUCAUGAGUCUGGAGCUGAAAAUUCAAGUAAGCUUUAUUUUUAAAAACAUACACAACUCUGCCAGCAUUAAGACUCUAAGAGUGAUAGAGACAAUGUUAUAUAUUACUAUAUUAUACUAUUUAUGUAUUUCUAUCUAUCUUCAGCUUCAUGGUGUCUGUGGUAUACUGGCUUUCCUCCUUCUCUGACUGUUAUCAUCUCCAUCUGCUCUGUACAGCUGUCACUAUGUUGUAUCUUUUCUAAUAACCUUCCCUCACACUAUGCAAAUGCCUCCCAACUGGUCCAAUUUGUGACAGUCUUGAUUUACAGGAUCCUGUCCCACCAUCCUGCCUCAGUACCCUGGUGUCCCACUUUUAGAGACACCAGGGAUCUGUCCCCAACAAUCAUUGCACGCGCACAUGAACCAGCCUGAAUGAUGGACAGGCAGUCUGACGUGUACACAGGCUGUGCUACCAUUAACUCGGGUGGACCUUCCCAUAAGGGUCUGCCCCUUUGGGGAUGAAGCUAGUGAUGUAAUCACGUCACAUUCUCAGGAUGACAGUGUUGGGAGGUAUGCAAUCCAGUCUUAAUUGAUGACUUGUUAAAGAAAGUAUAAAGUAACAUUAUUACCAUUUGGGCCGGCACUACCAUAAGGUGGCACAAGCGGCCGCCUUAAGGCGCACAGACCCGAGGGGCGCAAAAAUGUCUGAGUGACCGGCGGGAGCACGGAGGACUCUGCUCCAGCCAGUCAAUUUCUGCAGCAAUCUAUCCAGCUAACUGGGAAACGUGCAGCCACUGAGGGAAGGGGGCGGAACAGCGAGGAGCAACCGCAGCAAAUCUCUUCCUGAGCUACAGGCCGCUGGGAUACAUGACAUCAUAUCCUGGCGGCCAACUGCUGUGGAGAGAGGAGGAACGCUACAACAGUGCAGCGGGACCACUGUUUAGCAACUAUAAGAAACAGUAAGUGUGUGUGUAAGAGUUAGUGUGUGUGUCUGUGUGUGUAAGAGUUAAUGUGUGUGUGUUAGAGCCAGUGUGUGUGUGUGUGUGUGUGUGUGUGUGUGUUAGAGCCAGUGUGUGUGUGUGUAAGAGUUAGUGUGUGUGUGUAAGAGUUAGUGUGAGUAUGUGUCUAUAAGCUGUGUGUGUAAGAGACUGUGUGAGUGUAAAGCAGUGUGUGUGUGAGAGACUGUGUGUGUGUUACAGCCAGUGAGUGUGUGUAAGGCAGUGUGUGCGUAAGAGACUGUUUGUGUGUGUCUGUUAGAGCCAGUGAGUGUGUAUAAGCAGUGCAAGUGUGUAAGAGACUGUGUGCGUUAGAGCCAGUGUGUGUAUAAGCAGCGUGUGUAAUGGUCAGUGUGUGUGUGUGUGUAACGGUCAGUGUGUGUGUGACGCAAGGGGUAAAGAAAAGUAGGAUGAAGACACAAAACACAUGAAAAAGAAUGCCAAACAGGGGAUGCAAUAUACAAAAAGGGAAAACAAGAGAAAAAGGUGGUAAGAUGCACAAAAGGGGCAAAAGCAUGGGUAAGAGGGGCAAAAGUGGGAAUAUUAGACAGACAGGUGAAGAUAAAUUUUGGGGGCAGCAAAAUGUUUCUUCGCCUGUGUAGAUAGAAGUCCUUGCACCGGCCCUGAUUACCGUCAAACAAAAUACCUGCUUUUAUUUAUCUACUGGGUGCGCAGGUUCCAUAGAAGACUUUGUGUAGCAUCUUUUUAGUGAAAAAAAGAGUCAGGUGUACAUAAUCUGCAUAUAAGUAGGCACAAUGGAAAAAGCGAUUGCAUAUGUAGAAGCUCGACAUUACAUAAGGGUAGAACUCAAACAGUGCAAUUAGAAAAACAUUAAAGGUACAUGCAUCACUUGACAAUUUUUUUAAACCAGCAAGCAAACACUUUUCGACAAAUAUACAAACUGAAAUAAAUUAGGAAAGGAUUGUAAAAUAUGUAAUAAACAUUUAAAAACUCUAUUAUUUCCUUUGUUGGGAAUGUCUUUUUUGCUAAGAGAGUUUCUUCAGCCUUCUCCCCUUCUUACCCUCCUCUCUGCUUUCUGCUAUAUCACCUCCUAACAUAAUAAAUAUGUUAACACUAAUUAUAAAAUUUCAAUUUGCACUUCUGCUCUCUUUGCUCUUGUACACACCGAGGCACCCAGCGACAGCAUUAACUACACGAUCCCCCAUGCCACGGUUAUCUGGGGUUAAUUUUAGCCCAUGAUGGAAUUAUACCGUCAUGGGUCCUAUAGAGAAGAAUAUCCAUGAAACAUAGAAACAUAGAAUGUAAUGGCAAAUAAGAACCAUUCGGCCCAUCUAGUCUAUCCAAUUUUUUAAAUACUUUCAUUAGUCCCUAGCCUUAUCUUAUAGUUAGGAUAGCCUUAUGCCUAUCCCACUCAUGCUUAAAGAAAAUUAUUCUGUUAAGGGGUUAAAGGAGCAUUUUAUAUCCUGUAGUGUUGAUAGUGCCAGGAAUACCCUGUUGCCAUUCCAUGUUUUAGUUUUCGCAUCAUUAAUUGGCUGAAAGCAUCAGAUGAAAGACCGGGCUGGUCCAGAUAAAAACAGUUCUUGCUGAUUUUUGGCUACCGUCAGAGCAUUUUCCCACUCUCCAUUUCCUAUAAUAGUCAGUAGAUGUCUAGAUUUUUCACACUUUAUUAAUUGAAUGUCAGCAUAUAAUUUCCUAAAGCAUGUUCUGUUAAAUGAGCCAUACAAGUGCCAUUUUCUUGUUAUUGCAGAAAUCUUGAUUUAUUUGUGAUAUUCUCUUUAACCCUGUUGUUGUGACAAUUCAAAUUUGAAUCUUGCCCUCCCUGUCUUUGAUGUGUGUUUUUUACAUUGCAGUGAGUACAAUGAGAGGAAUUUCCUGGACUUUUAUGACUUUGGGAUAGACCCAGUGGGGUCAUGUUUCAUAUAUCAGCAAUUUGCAUUUGCUAGUUUCUUAGUGACAGAUAUUGUUGCAAUUCCGGAAACACAUCAUGUGCCAAUUCCAGGGAGUCAUUAGUAAGUGUGCAAUAAUUACAUCUUCCAUUAUAUGGAAAACAUUUUUGACACUGUCAAUAAUUAGACUAAUCUUGUUGCUUGUUUGCUUUUUCUAAUUUUGUGAUCAAGCAAUAACACAAUGCACAUGUUCAACAGAAGCAGCAUUGCAUAAAUGGAAUUAAAUAAUUGUACUCUAAUCAGAAUUCUGUAGCUCGUCUGUUGUGCUCUCAAGGGAAGCUGGACUGGAAAUACACACUGAUAGGAUGACUGGUGAGCUGCCAGUGCACAUGAAUUCAUGCAGGGGACUAUUCCUCAAAACAUAAUGCCAACAAAAGCCAGUGCUCCUUGCCAGAGUGGAUCCAGAACCUAAUAUCAGGAGGGCACUGGAAGAUUAUUUAACGGAACCUAGUUAGACAGGCAGACAGACAGUCUGACAGACAGAAAGACAGAGAUAGUUUCUAUCUGUAUGUUUCUUUUGUAAUUAAAAAUAUUGAUCCUUUGAGAGUAAAAAAAAUACAUUCUAUACUAAGCAUACACACGUGCCUGCACAAACAAGCCCACAGACCAUCUCACUGAUAUAUACAGACAAUCUCAUUGAUACGCACAGACAAGCUCACUGACAGAUAAUCUCACUGGUACACAAACAAGCUCACUGACACACACAGACAUGCUCACUGGCAGACAAGAUCACUGUGUCAAGAUACAUGUAAGGGACCCAAAAAAUACAGACCCUAAUCUACAACAGAGAGUACUAUAAUCCAUAUUACGGACCUUAGAGUAGUAAUGUAAGAAUGGUCAAUUAGAUUGCCAAGGUCAAGGGCAGGAGAAAAAAAAAGCCAAAAUUCAGGGAUACAGGAAAAAUGGUAAUCAAACCAAAGUCAAUGACAGGAAAUCAGAAAAUAUCACAGAAGCACUAUUGGGCUAAACAAGAACCAAAACAAGACUUGUGUCAAGAAAGGCCAGGAUUUAAAUACUAGUGGCUCUAUUAGGAUUGGGCCAUGUCACAGGGAAGUGCCAGAAGACACAAGAUAAGCAAUUUGCUGAUUUCGCCUCAUCCGGGAGGCGCACCAUUCGGACAUAAGCGCAAAUGCAUAGAAAGAAACGCUCACGAGCAGUGUGCAGUGUCCAAAUUAUUACCGGAGCAGCAAGGAUGAGUCCCAGAAGUGGUAAGUAUGACACAAUGGCAUACACACAAUCUCACUGAUACAAACAGACAACCUCACUGACAGACAUUCACGUACACACACUCACUACAGACGAACUCAAGGAAGGCUGUGCAUUUGAUGCUUAUUUGCAUCUGGCAGUUGUGUACUAUAGAGGUUUGUGUGGAUUAAAGGCUUACUUCAGUGAAAGUUGUCAUCAUACAGUAACUGCAUAGGGUUGAUCCCAACUCCCGAGGUCUGAGAAGAAACAGGCAACCCUGCACAUACCUGGUCAAUGGGCUCAUGUUCUAGAAUACCAUAACAUGCCUGGACACACUGUUUGAAUUUCCUGUGGUGCCAACAGCUCUAGACCUGGAGCAGUGGCUCCCCAACACUGGUCCUCAUCACUGGGAAAAGCGAAAAACCGGACAUCAGCGCAGGUUGGACACAUCCCUGUGACAAUGGCUCAGGCUAUGCAACCUCUCAGAGUAGCAGCCAAGUUGUAGUGGGGUCCUCAAAGGCACUGCCUUAGUCAUUAUUCCCCAUCUUACUGGCAACUAGGGGGGCACGUGCCCUGAUGCUCCCUGAUGCUCCCUCGAAAUCCCCGCUAGCUUCUACAGGGUUAAUUUAGUUGCAUUUGUGGCAUAACCACAUAAAGUACUGUCUUUGUUUAAUUUUAAUAACUGUUACUUGAAAUCAAGAAAACUCUAAAUUUUUAUAAUUUUCCAUAGAGUGCAGAGCAUUAGUAAAGGAAUCCUAUAGUCUCAAAAACAAUAUUUGAUUGGGACUGUAAGUUCCCUGCCAUUAUUAUGAUCGCUGUUGAACCCCUUGUAAGCUUCAACAUGUUAAAGGAUCACUAUAGGGUCUGGAACACAAACAUGUAUUCCUGACCCUAAAGUGUUAAAACCACCAUCUAGCCUCCCUGGGCCCCUCAUGCCUCCUUAAAUAUAGUAAAAAUCUUACCAUAUUCAAGCUUGAAGCUGUAACUCUGCAUGCUGUUAGACUCAGAAGAACAAGCAGUGUGCUGACAUCAUCAGAAGUGGUAGCCUGAUCCAAUCACAAUGCUUCCCCAUUGGAUUGGCUGAGACUGACAAGGAAGCAGAUCAGGGGCAGAGCCAGCAUGAUUGAAACACAGCCCUGGCCAAUCAGCAUCUCCUCAUAGAGAUGAAUUGAAUCAAUGAAGCUCUAUGAGGAAAGUUCAGUGUCUGCAUGCAGAGGGUGGAUGUAGCGUUACUUACCUUAACCGGGGGCCGGUCGCGGUCCUCUCUUCAAGCCGCGCGCGGUCCUGCGGCUGCACGAGCCGCGCGCGGCUCAUCCGACUGCUUCAGAUGGAAGGCGGGCAGUGACCGCGUGAAGCGGUCACGUGUCCCGCCUGAAACUAAGAGCGCGCCGCGAGUCUCGGGCGCGCUCUUAAAGAGACAGUGGGAGCCUAAUUGCCAAAAGGCUCCCAUUGGCUCCUGUCAUACCACACUCCCUAUACAAUUACCUAUAGGGGGUGUGGAAGUGACAGGAGCCAAUCACUUUGGUUUAAAAGCUAUUUAACUUACCUUUUUCCCUUAGCUCGUUGCCCUAUCGUGGUUUCUGUUUCAGUUCCCUUUAGCGCUUGUGGUGUUCAGUUGUGUUUUCUCGUAUUGACUUUGGCUUCGUAUUCUGACUUCGUUUUCGCUUUAUCCUUAUCUGUACUGUUUGCCGGCUUGCUGUUUUCCGUGUACCAGACCCCGGCUUGUCCUAGUUUACGCUGUCUCUCUGUGCCCUUGACCUCGGUUUGUUCCUGGCUCUGUCUCCUCUCAUAUACGUCGAGUCCGGCCAUUCUAAGGUCCGGUAGACGUAUCUCUCCUCUGUAUUUGCCUCUGUUUAGCUGGAUCCUGCGUGUAGGGGUAUAUUCUCGUUACAUUACGAUAGGGCCAUGGACCCCGCAGAUUUAGCUCAACAGAUGGCGUCCCAUGAGGCAAGAUUUGUAGAGCAGGAUCACCGUAUGGAUCAGAUAGCUCAGGCUCUCCAGACGCUCCUAGCUAGAACCGUUCCAGCAACCACACCUAACCCUCCUACGCCCCUUCUCCCUGAAGUAUCUACUUUGCCUAAUACUUCGGCCCAUUUAACACCUCCUCCUAGGUAUGGAGGGGACUCUAAGACUUGCAGAGGGUUUAUUAAUCAAAUUGAAUUCCACUUCGAAAUGUAUCCACGUUCAUUUCCCACAGAGAGGUCUAAGGUUGGGUUCUUUAUGCACCAACUCACCGAUAAGGCACUUGAGUGGGCAAAUCCUAUUUGGGAAGCUAAUGGACCUAUGGUGCAUGAUUUCAACAGUUUUCUUACGGCUUUUCGUAGAACUUUUGACACAAUGAAAAGGUCAAAGAAUGCCGCGAGAGCAUUAAUGAGAAUUAAACAGGGUUCUAGGUCUGUGGCUGAUUAUGCUAUUCCGUUUCGCACUCUUGCUUCGCAGGUAGAUUGGACCAACAAUGGGUUAACUACUGCCUUUAUGGAAGGUUUGUCAGAUACGAUAUUGGAUGAGGUAGCAGCUAAGGAGCUUCCUAUUGCCUUAGAGGACCUUAUCGAUUACCUCAUUGAUAUAGAUAAUAGAAUUCGUGACAGGCUCUAUACCAAGAACAGGAAUAGAUGUUUUGUUACACCCAUUAACCCCAGAGUUAAUAUACCAGAGAGUGUUAAAGUGUCUGAGGAGGAACCUAUGCAAUUAGGGGUUGCCAAACUCUCUGAUACUGAGAAAUUACAUAGGAGAAGGGAGGGACUCUGCCUAUACUGUGGUAGGAGAGACCAUAUGGUAAAGGAAUGUCCUUUACUCCCGGAAAACUCUCGCACCUAAGACCUUAUAGGGGACUGGCCUUGGGUGUGAUAUCUAAGUCUCCUAAAUUGCCUCCUAACCGCUUGCUUCUCCCGGUUUCUUUAUAUAUGGGAGAGAUUUGUAUAGUUGACAACAUAUAUGCUCUGGUUGACUCUGGGGCAGCUGAAAAUUUUAUAGACUCUGGCUUUAUAAAGAGAAACAACAUUCCCAUCAGAGAGAAGGAGAUACCCUUGGCCGUUGAGGCCAUAGAUGGUAGACCAUUAAGUUCUCCAGUUGUUACUCAUGAGACUGUACCAUUACACAUGUACACAGGGGUUUUACACUAUGAAACCAUUCGAUUCCAGGUCAUCACCUCUCCCUCUUCACAGUUAGUAUUAGGGUAUCCAUGGUUACGUGCUCACAAUCCCAUUUUUGACUGGGAGACAGGGCAAAUAAAAUCAUGGAGUGAGGCCUGCCACGAGUCUUGUACGUUGGAAGUCACACCUUUGAAUUCUAUUGAGGUACCUACCAGUCCUCCUUUGUCUACGGUUAUACCCCCUCAGUAUUUAUCUCUAAAGACUGUUUUCGAUAAAAGGGAGGCUGAGAAAUUACCGCCUCACAGACCCUAUGAUUGCGCUAUUGACUUGUUGCCUGGCACUAUACCUCCAAAGGGCAGGGUGUACCCCUUAUCGGUUCAAGAAAACCGUGUCAUGGAGGAGUAUAUUAAGGAAUCACUAGAAAAGGGGUUUAUUAGGAGAUCCUCUUCUCCAGCUGGAGCAGGGUUCUUCUUUGUAUCGAAGAAAGAAGGUGAUUUAAGACCGUGUAUAGAUUAUAGAGGUCUAAACAAAAUCACUAUCAAAAAUGCAUACCCUAUACCUUUAAUUACAGAAUUAUUUGACAGGCUGAAACAUGCCACUGUGUUCACUAAAUUAGACCUUAGGAGUGCAUACAAUUUGAUACGUAUAAAGGAAAAUCACGAAUGGAAGACUGCAUUCAACACUAGAUCCGGUCAUUACGAAUAUACUGUUAUGCCAUUUGGGCUUUGCAAUGCCCCAGCAGUAUUCCAAGAAUUUAUUAAUGAUGUCUUAAGAGAUUUUAUUCACACAUUUGUUAUCGUAUACUUGGACGACAUUUUAAUAUAUUCUACAGAUAUACACACUCAUCACAGACAUGUUACGACAGUUUUGAAGACCCUUCUUGCUAAUGGUCUUUAUUGCAAGCUAGAAAAAUGUUUGUUUGACCAAACCGAAGUCCAGUUCUUGGGGUAUUUGAUUUCCGCUAAAGGUUUUCGUAUGGAUCCCCAGAAGCUUGCUGCUGUAAUAGAAUGGCCUCUACCGCAAGGUCUGAAAGCUAUUCAGCGUUUUCUUGGGUUCUCCAAUUAUUAUAGACGUUUUAUCAAAGGUUUCUCGUCCAUUGUAGCACCUAUUACCCGUAUGACUAAAAAGGAUGGCAAUACUCGUGUUUGGUCUACCGAGGCACUUCAGGCUUUUGAAUUUCUUAAAACUACGUUCGCCUCUGCACCUAUUUUACAGCAUCCUGUCCCCUCACUGCCCUAUAUUCUUGAAGUUGAUGCUUCGGAUAUUGGGGUAGGUGCUGUCUUAUCCCAAAGAGAGUCGCCUGAAAAGCCAUUGCAUCCAUGCGGCUUCUUUUCUAAACAAAUGUCCAAAGCAGAGAAAAAUUAUGAUGUGGGUAAUCGCGAACUCCUUGCUAUUAUUUUAGCACUUAAAGAGUGGAGACAUUUGUUAGAAGGAACUAAGGAUCCUAUCCUCAUUUUUACGGAUCACAAGAACCUAUCCUACCUUAGCGAAGCCAAAAGAUUGUCUUCCAGGCAGGCUAGGUGGUCACUAUUUUUGUCCCGUUUCAAUUUUAUUAUCACCUAUAGGCCAGGUGAUCGCAACACUAAAGCAGACGCUCUGUCCAGACAGUUCGAAACUACUGACAAACAGGAGAUUGAUGUUACUCCUGUCAUUCCCCCAGACAGGAUAAUAGCUACUACUAUUUUGUCUAUUUCCUCGUCCCUCUUGCAGGCCAUACAAGCGAAACAAAGCAUGGCACCUAGCGAGAGGCCUAAUGAUAAACUGUUCGUUGAUGUUCCUGAGAGACGGGAUAUUAUGUCAUUAUAUCAUGAUACUAAGACUGCUGGACAUCCUGGUAUUUCCAAAACGGUGUCAGCUGUUUCUCGGUAUUUUUGGUGGGAUUCCUUACGAAAGGAUGUCACUGACUAUAUAAGUGCUUGUACUACUUGUGCCUGUAUGAAAUCCUCCCGUAGAGUUCCUUGUGGGCUGUUGCAUCCGUUACCCGUUCCCGAGAGACCUUGGUCUAACCUGUCCAUGGAUUUUAUUGUUGAAUUACCCCCUUCAAAUGGUAACACAGUAAUCCUGAUGAUAGUGGAUCGGUUCUCCAAAAUGGCUCACUUCGUGUCUCUUCACAAGUUGCCCACAUCUAAGGAACUGGCUCAUAUCUUCGCUAGAGAAGUAUUUAGAUUACAUGGGAUUCCCGUAUCUAUUGUAUCCGAUAGGGGUAGCCAAUUUAUUUCCAGGUUCUGGAGGGCCUUUUGUUCAGAAAUGGGUAUUUCUCUCUCAUUUUCUUCCACUUAUCAUCCCCAGUCUAAUGGGGCUGCUGAACGUGCCAACCAGUCCUUGGAGCAAUACCUCCGUUGUUUUGUGUCUCACCAUCAGGACAAUUGGUCUGACCUGCUUCCUUGGGCUGAAUUUGCUCGGAAUAACGCCACUCAUGAUUCUUCCGGCAAGACCCCUUUUUACGUUGUCUAUGGCCAGCAUCCCGUUGUUCUUCCGGCUGCAUUCUCCUCACAGGGCAUGCCAGUUCUGGAUGAGCAUUUGGCUGGUUUGCGUAAUACUUGGGAGCAGGUUCAGCGUUCUUUGGUGGACUCUGCUACUCGCCAGAAGGCUCAGGCUGACAAGCAUCGCAGAGCAGCUCCGUCCUAUGUUGUGGGGACAGGGUUUUGCUUUCCACGCGGAAUAUUCGUCUCCGGGUGCCUUCUAUGAAAUUGGCUCCCCGCUUCAUUGGACCUUAUCGUAUUAUACAUAAGGUUAAUCCUGUUUCUUAUGCCUUAGGCCUGCCUAAGAAUCUACGUAUUCCUAAUGUUUUUCACACCUCAUUGUUGAAACCUUUCGUACGCAACCGCUAUACCCGGCAUACUCCUCCUCCCCCUCCUAUCUCGGUGGAGGGUCAUGAGGAGUUUGAAGUGUCUGCUGUUCUUGACUCUCGUUUCCUUAGGGGUCGACUUCAGUACUUGGUACAUUGGAAGGGUUAUGGGCCUGAGGAGCACAGUUGGAUUUCGGCUGAUGCUGUUCAUGCUCCCCGUCUUGUGCGCUCUUUCCAUUCUCGUUUUCCUGCCAGGCCUGGUCCUACCCGCCCGGAGGGCGUGUCCUCAGGGGGGGGUACUGUAGCGUUACUUACCUUAACCGGGGGCCGGUCGCGGUCCUCUCUUCAAGCCGCGCGCGGUCCUGCGGCUGCACGAGCCGCGCGCGGCUCAUCCGACUGCUUUAGAUGGAAGGCGGGCAGUGACCGCGUGAAGCGGUCACGUGUCCCGCCUGAAACUAAGAGCGCGCCGCGAGUCUCGGGCGCGCUCUUAAAGAGACAGUGGGAGCCUAAUUGCCAAAAGGCUCCCAUUGGCUCCUGUCAUACCACACUCCCUAUACAAUUACCUAUAGGGGGUGUGGAAGUGACAGGAGCCAAUCACUUUGGUUUAAAAGCUAUUUAACUUACCUUUUUCCCUUAGCUCGUUGCCCUAUCGUGGUUUCUGUUUCAGUUCCCUUUAGCGCUUGUGGUGUUCAGUUGUGUUUUCUCGUAUUGACUUUGGCUUCGUAUUCUGACUUCGUUUUCGCUUUAUCCUUAUCUGUACUGUUUGCCGGCUUGCUGUUUUCCGUGUACCAGACCCCGGCUUGUCCUAGUUUACGCUGUCUCUCUGUGCCCUUGACCUCGGUUUGUUCCUGGCUCUGUCUCCUCUCAUAUACGUCAAGUCCGGCCAUUCUAAGGUCCGGUAGACGUAUUUCUCCUCUGUAUUUGCCUCUGUUUAGCUGGAUCCUGCGUGUAGGGGUAUAUUCUCGUUACAGUGGAGACAUUAAUGUUUGGAUGCAUUUUAGGCAGCCAUGACCCAGGAAGGAUCUCUAACAGCCAUCUGAGGAGUGACCAGUGAAGUUAUCACUAGGCUGUAAUGUAAACACUGCAUGUUCUCUGAAAAGACAGUGUUUACAGCAAAAAGCCUGAAGGUAAUGAUUCUACUCACCAGAACAAAUUCAAUGAGCUGUAGUUGUUCUGGUGACUAUAGUGUCCCUUUAAAUAUAUUUCACUUACCUUGUUUCCAGCCCAAGACACUGUCAUUGCAGCCAUCGAAUCUGUAUUCCACAAUGUCACACUGACUACUAUAAUAGGACACAUGGGAGCUGGGGAGGCUAUAAUGGGACACAUGGGGGCUGGUGGGCUCUAGGGACACAUGAUGGUUAUAAUGGGACACAUAGGGGCUGUGGAGGGGGCUAUAAUGGGACACAUGGGGGCUGGGGGGCUAUAGGGACACAUGGGGACUGAGGAGGGGGCUAUAAUGGGACACAUGGGGGCUAUGGGGCUAUAGGGACACAUGGGGGCUAGGGAGAGGGCUAUUAUGGGACACAUAAAGGCUAUAAUGGGACAUAUAGGGGCUGGGGAGGGGGCUAUAGGAACACAUGGGGGCUGGAGAAGGGGCUAUAAUGGGACACAUGGAGGAUAGGGGGCUAUAGGGACACGUGGGGGAUGGGGUGGGGGCUAUAGGGACACACCAAAGGUUGUCUUUGUUUAAUUUUAAUAACUGUUACUUGAAAUCAAGAAAACUCUAAAUUUUUAUAAUUUUCCAUAGAGUGCAGAGCAUUAGUAAAGGAAUCCUAUAGUCUCAAAAACAAUAUUUGAUAGGCUAUAGAUGCAUAGGGACACAUGGAGGGCUAGGGGGCUAUAUGGACACAUGAAAGGCUGGGAGGGGGAUAGUGGGACACAUGGAGGGCUGGGAGAGAGGGCCAAUAGGACACAUAGAGGGCUGGGUGCUAAUGGGACACAUGGGAGGGCUCAUGGGACACAUGUGGGGAUGCUGCUGAGACACAUGGGAGGGCUAAUAAGACGUAGAGGGCUGGGCGUUUUAGCCGCGAGGCAAACAAGGCAUUUGCCUUGGGCGGCAUUUUUCAGGGGGCGGCAAAAAACGCCGCCCCCCAAAUGCCCAGGGCAAAUGCCUUGUUAGCCUGGCGGCUAAUAGACAUGCGCUGGGCGGGCGGCUGGCGAGCACUUCCCCUGAGCGGUCUGCUCAGCUCCCUCGCGCGCCGCAAAGUGAGGCUGGGAGCCGGAAGACUGGUGGUCCAGUGGCACAGCAGCCACUGGACCACCAGGGAGGUAAUGAACCCCUUCCCCCCCAGCACUCCCAGAGGUAAGGAGGUGGGGGGGGGGAGUGAAUAAAAAAAAAAAAAGUGUUAAUGUGAGUGAGUGUGUGUCUGUUAAUGUGUGUGUGUGUGUGUCUGACUGUGUGAGUGUGUGUGUCUGCUAGUGAGUGAGUGUGUGUCUGACUGUCAGUGAGUGUGUGUUUGCCUGUGAGUGUGUGUCUGUUAGUGUGUGUGUCUGUUAGUGUGAGUGUGUGUGUCAGUGAGUGUGUGUCUGUUAAUGUGUGUGUGUUUGUUAGUGUGUGUGUGUGAGUUUGUGUGUGUGUGUCUGCUAGUGAGUGUUAGUGUGUAUGUGUGUGUCUGACUGUGUGUCAGUGAGUGUGUGUGUGUCUGCUAGUGAGUGUGUAUGUCAGUGAGUGUGUGUCUGUUAAUGUGUGUUUGUUAGUGUGUGAGUUUGUGUGUGUGUCUGCUAGUGAGUGUGUGUCUGUUAGUGUGUGUGUCUGACUGUUUGUCUGUUAGUGUGUAUGUGUGUGUCUGACUGUGUGUCAGUGAGUGUGUGUGUGUAUGUGUCUGACUGUGUGUGUGUGUCUGUAAGUGAGUGUGUGUCAGUGAGUGUGUGUCUGUUAGUGUGUGUGUGUGUGUUUCUGUUAGCGAGUGUAUGCGGAUCUGUCAGUGAAUGAGUGUGUGUGUCAGUGAGUGUGUGUCUGUUAAUGUGUGUUUGUUAGUGUGUGUGAGUUUGUGUGUGUGUCUGCUAGUGAGUGUGUGUCUGUUAGUGUGUGUGUCUGACUGUUUGUCUGUUAGUGUGUAUGUGUGUGUCUGACUGUGUGUCAGUGAGUGUGUGUCUGACUGUGUGUGUGUGUCUGUUAGUGUGAGUUUGUGUGUCAGUGAGUGUGUGUCUGUUAGUGUGUGUGUGUGUUUCUGUUAGCGAGUGUAUGCGGAUCUGUCAGUGAAUGUGUGUGUGUGUGUGUAUUUAGAAGGCGGGGCGGGGGAAGGGUUGGGGGGGGACGGGCGCGGUGGGGGUGGGGGGGUACAUGAGUUUUGUCCUGCCUAGGGCAGCACAAAACCAGGAUACACCACUGGGGCUGGGAGGGGGCUAAUGGGAUGCAUGGAGUGCUUGAAGAGGCUAUAGGGACACAUGGAGGGCUGGGGGGGGCUAAUGGGACACAUGGGGUUGCUAUUGAGACACAUGGGAGGGCUAAUGAGACACAUACAAGGCUGGGGGGGCUAAUAUGACAAAUGGGGGUUGCUAAUAAGACACAUGAAGGGGAUGGGGGUAAUGAGACACAUUGAUAGAUAGGGGAGUAAUAAGACACAUGGGGAGUCUGUGGAGAAAAAAAGACACAGAGGAGUCUGAGGAGAAAGAGAGAGAGGGGCUGAGAAAGACUAACAAAAGAUACACAGAGGGACUGGGGAAGGGGAGAAUGAGACACACAGAGGAGCUGUGGGGAAAGAGACACACAGAGGUGCUGCGGCCUGGGAAAGAGACUCACAGAAGGACUGGGGAAGGGGAGAAAGAGACAAACGGGUUGGGGCUAAGCGACACAUGAAAGGGGUUUUGGGGGAGAAAUACACAAACAAAGUGCAUCUUCACUUGUGUCUCCUGCUCUCCCCGUAAUUUAGAACUGACUGGUGAGAGACAUAAUUCAUAUUAAAGGGACACUAUAGUCACCAGAACUACUACAGCUUAUUGUAGUGGUUCUGUUUUUUUAGUAUAAGCAUCUCCACUCUCUACAUGGAGGUGCUGAAUGCUCCCCAUAGAGAUGCAUUGAUGCAAUGCAAAUCUAUGAGGAGAUGCUGAUUGGUGCAGUGAAGCACAGCAUUUUGCCACACAUGCGCAAUAGCCUCCCAAUGCUUUCCUUUGGGAAUAGAAUUGGCAUUGACUGAGCUCAUCCAGUUGUCAGUCAAAGUGAAGAGCACAGUCUUGUUACUUCAAAAUGAGCAAGAUAACGUAAUUUUGUUACUGCUGUGCAAUAGCAUGCAUUCACAAUUUCAGUCCAAUUACAAAACUUUCCUUAAUAUGCCAAGGUAGUUGUACUGAAGCAUUGAUUAUAUACAAAUGCUAGUUUUAUGUUAGUUACCUUUACAUUUUGACAUCCCUGUUAAGAUGUACAAUUUCAUUUAUAUACUAAAUUAAGAUAUGCUAUUUAAUGUCAAGAAGUGUGUGGCUGCUUGCUAAUCAAACAUGUUAUUAAAUAAUCAUGAAUGUUAAUAUAUGGACUUGGUCCACAUUUACUACAAUGACAGCCUUUACUCUUCUAGGAAGGCUUUCUGCUAGAUAGUGGGGAUUUCUACAGGUGUUCCAUUCAGGAGUAAGUGUAUUAAUAAAAUGGGCCACAAUUAUGUGACAAUUAUUCUAAAACAUGCUGUAUACUACCUGCAUUUGGUGUUCCAAAUAUCCCAAACGUGUUCAAUAUGAUUGUGAAGUUGUGGGUUGGGCAGCACAUUCAGGUUUUUCAAUCCUGACAUGGACACACAAUUUUAGUGUGCUUCUCACUUUGAACAGGGGUCACACUAAUUAAUUAAUUAAUUAAUUAAUGGGCCCUCUUAUAAAAUUGCCUAAAAUCUUGUAACAUCAUAGUAAGAGCAAGGCCCAUUAAUUUUUCUCCAGAAUACUUCACAUUUGGCACUAUGCAUCAGACUCUCAGUGAUCCUUUGUGUGGCCAGGUGGUAAUUCAUCAUUCAGGUGUGUAUUUCCACUACUCCCAAAUCCAAAGGAAGCAUGCACUACACCACUCCAGCUGUCACUUGGCAGUACACGUGGCUAUCACUGCUACGGAAAAUGAUUCCAUGCCACUUAUAACUGUUAUUAUGUUGACAAUACACAUUACUCUGUGAGCUUGUGUGACUUACCACUCCAUUAAAAUGCCGUUAGCCCUAGAUAUCCCCCAAAAAACACAGCAUUUAAACUUUAUUAGGAAUAAAAAAUAAGCAUAAAUCUGACAUUCGUUGAUUUGUCGUUGAUAUGUUGUUGCUGGAAAAUGUCAGUUUGAAUGUUAUUGGGGCUUCAGUGUGGAAAACUUAAUGGUUGUCAUGUCAAGAUAUGAUUUAGAGAUGCCUGUAAAAGUCUUACUUCCUAGGAGAGUUAGUUAAAAUACACCUCUAAAGCAUGCUUUUAUUAUUAUUAUAGGUGGCCUAAAUCAACUACCGAUAUGGCAAACCUAGGGCCAUUCUGCUACCAAAAGAGAGUGGAUUCUGCACUUGAUUUAUACUCUUUCCCAGACAUGGCAGCUGCUACAGCCUGAUCCAUUUAAGAAGUGUCUAUAUGUCC